Molecule: ribosomal RNA, 254 nt
Filed under: uncultured bacterium
Lineage: Bacteria
Description: partial 16S ribosomal RNA
Rfam family: Bacterial small subunit ribosomal RNA
Source: RNAcentral
UACGGAGGGGGCAAGCGUUGUUCGGAAUUACUGGGCGUAAGGGCGCGCAGGCGGCUGCUCAAGUCAGGCGUGAAAGGCCUGGGCUCAACCCGGGGAAUUGCGCUUGAGACUGGGCUGGCUUGAGUGCGGGAGAGGAUGGUGGAAUUCCCAGUGUAGAGGUGAAAUUCGUAGAUAUUGGGAAGAACACCGGUGGCGAAGGCGGCCAUCUGGACCGCAACUGACGCUGAGGCGCGAAAGCGUGGGGAGCAAACAGG